This 611-nucleotide ribosomal RNA is filed under the name Planococcus rifietoensis. Its description in RNAcentral is "bacterial SSU rRNA". It matches the Rfam family "Bacterial small subunit ribosomal RNA", at positions 36 to 630 of the family's 1533-position model. The record is from RNAcentral. Lineage: Bacteria; Bacillati; Bacillota; Bacilli; Caryophanales; Caryophanaceae.
CAUGCCGCGAGCUAAUACAUGCAAGUCGAGCGGAGCUAUGUGGAGCUUGCUCCUUUAUGCUUAGCGGCGGACGGGUGAGUAACACGUGGGCAACCUGCCCUGCAGAUCGGGAUAACUCCGGGAAACCGGUGCUAAUACCGAAUAGUUUGCGGCCUCUCAUGAGGCUGCACGGAAAGACGGUUUCGGCUGUCACUGCAGGAUGGGCCCGCGGCGCAUUAGCUAGUUGGUGAGGUAACGGCUCACCAAGGCCACGAUGCGUAGCCGACCUGAGAGGGUGAUCGGCCACACUGGGACUGAGACACGGCCCAGACUCCUACGGGAGGCAGCAGUAGGGAAUCUUCCGCAAUGGACGAAAGUCUGACGGAGCAACGCCGCGUGAGUGAAGAAGGUUUUCGGAUCGUAAAACUCUGUUGUGAGGGAAGAACAAGUACCAACUAACUAUUGGUACCUUGACGGUACCUCACCAGAAAGCCACGGCUAACUACGUGCCAGCAGCCGCGGUAAUACGUAGGUGGCAAGCGUUGUCCGGAAUUAUUGGGCGUAAAGCGCGCGCAGGCGGUCCUUUAAGUCUGAUGUGAAAGCCCACGGCUCAACCGUGGAGGGUCAUUGGA